GCAGUGAAUUUGCUCUGAUUCUUUAGCGUUUGCAACUUUGGAGCAAAGAUUGAUAAAUAGAGAGAUGCAAACAGAGAAAUUAGAGUCGAUAAAAUCGGUUGCAGCAGAUACAAGAAGGAAGCAUAGAGUUUUGGCUGAAUUGAAGAGGCUUGAACAAGAAACUCGUCAUUUAGAGAUAGGAUGCCGCCUAGCCCUAAUCCGCAAUCUUUUCACGCCACCUGCAACCCAGAACAGACUGCUGCCCUUCGCGCCACUAGCAACCUCUUGUUCCAUCAAAUCCUAUUUAAUUGCAAUUAGUAGUGGUUCAAUUUCUCAUUCAGAUUGGUACCAUGACAGAUAAGAUGAGGUAGGUAAUCCACUUUUGGACUUCAAUACAAAUUUUAUUACGAUACCAAUAGUAGGUACUCAGUUUUGGGAACUUUUACAUAUUCUUUUGGUGUUUGCGUAAAUUGUUGUGGUGUUUACGUAACAAGUUAAGUAAACUAAGCAAGCCCAAAGUUCACCAUGGCCUCCAUCUCCAUCUGAGGCAUCA
Molecule: long non-coding RNA, 532 nt
Organism: Helianthus annuus (common sunflower)
Lineage: Eukaryota; Viridiplantae; Streptophyta; Magnoliopsida; Asterales; Asteraceae
Exons: 3
Source: RefSeq, a predicted model, not a curated record